UUUGAUUGAGCAGAAACAAUCACAGUUUAUUACCGAAUACUUGGCUAUGGCGGAAAAUGAAGAACUUCGGUCAAGUUUCGGAUGUCCUACUAUUUUCGUCACGUUUGGAAGGGAAAAAAAGAAAAAUCGUCAGCGCAUUCUGGUCAUCAUAUUAUGGAAAUAUUUGUGACUGAAUCCCAUCUGAAUGUUGGAUGACAUAUAUCAAGAUGACACUGAACAGGACAUAACUGAGGAAAAUGGAUGUGAGAGAAUCCAAUCUAACAGUUGGAAAUAAAUAUAUAUAUUAUUUA
This is a long non-coding RNA of Gigantopelta aegis, 290 nucleotides long. RefSeq lists it as uncharacterized. Lineage: Eukaryota; Metazoa; Mollusca; Gastropoda; Neomphalida; Peltospiridae. The record is from RefSeq and is a predicted model, not a curated record. The transcript is spliced from 3 exons.